This 497-nucleotide ribosomal RNA is filed under the name uncultured bacterium. RNAcentral describes it as "partial 16S ribosomal RNA". It matches the Rfam family "Bacterial small subunit ribosomal RNA", at positions 28 to 507 of the family's 1533-position model. The record is from RNAcentral.
GAUGAACGCUGGCGGCGUGCCUAAUACAUGCAAGUCGAGCGAACGGACGAGAAGCUUGCUUCUCUGAUGUUAGCGGCGGACGGGUGAGUAACACGUGGAUAACCUACCUAUAAGACUGGGAUAACUUCGGGAAACCGGAGCUAAUACCGGAUAAUAUUUUGAACCGCAUGGUUCAAAAGUGAAAGACGGUCUUGCUGUCACUUAUAGAUGGAUCCGCGCUGCAUUAGCUAGUUGGUAAGGUAACGGCUUACCAAGGCAACGAUGCAUAGCCGACCUGAGAGGGGGAGCGGCCACACGGGAACGGAGACACGGUGCAGAGUCGUACGGGAGGAAGCAGUAGGGAAUGUUCCGCAAUGGGCGAAAGCAUGACGGAGCAACGAAGCGUGAGUGAUGAAGGUCUUAGGAUCGUAAAAAUCUGUUAUGAGGGAAGAACAUAUGUGUAAGUAACUGUGCACAUCUUGACGGGACCUAAUAAGAAAGCCACGGCGAACUACGUG